UGGCAACUGCUCACGCGGACAACGGGC
RNAcentral lists this non-coding RNA (27 nucleotides) under Rattus norvegicus (Norway rat). The record is from RNAcentral. Lineage: Eukaryota; Metazoa; Chordata; Mammalia; Rodentia; Muridae.